UCCCUGGUGGCCUAGUGGUUAAGGAUCUGGCAUUGUCACUGCUGUGGCUUGGGUUCGAGCCCUGGCCGGGGAA
RNAcentral lists this transfer RNA (73 nucleotides) under Sus scrofa (pig). It matches the Rfam family "tRNA". From Rfam's summary of the family: Transfer RNA (tRNA) molecules are approximately 80 nucleotides in length. Their secondary structure includes four short double-helical elements and three loops (D, anti-codon, and T loops). Further hydrogen bonds mediate the characteristic L-shaped molecular structure. tRNAs have two regions of fundamental functional importance: the anti-codon, which is responsible for specific mRNA codon recognition, and the 3' end, to which the tRNAs corresponding amino acid is attached (by aminoacyl-tRNA synthetases). tRNAs cope with the degeneracy of the genetic code in two manners: having more than one tRNA (with a specific anti-codon) for a particular amino acid; and 'wobble' base-pairing, i.e. permitting non-standard base-pairing at the 3rd anti-codon position. The record is from Rfam by way of RNAcentral. Lineage: Eukaryota; Metazoa; Chordata; Mammalia; Artiodactyla; Suidae.